CAUAGAUAGCAGCACUAUGAACGGUGUACUCGUCUUUCAACUAGUGUCUGCACGUUUCCGAUCUUUUUCAGCUAUAAUGUCGUUGGAUAUUUCAAAUCUUUCGUCGCGAAAGCUUUUUGUGAUAGAUUUAUGCAUAUUUUUUUAAAUGUGUAAUUAGUAAUAAAAUAACGCGAAUUCAAUGUUCACACAUCGCAGCCUUAAUUGAACACGAUCAAAGACGAUAUGGAAGUUCAGGCUAAUAAAACUGUGGUUGAAAAUAAUGGUAGCUUCAAAAAUGCAUUAGAGAUGGAUCUGUCAAUAGGAAAGCAAAAUUUAAAACAUCCUUUGGAUAAAAACGAACAAAUUCAUUGUCUUAAUGAAUGGCUAAAUUUACUGAAGAGUAAAUCGAAAUUGCUUCAAAUUCUGGGUAAAAUAGGUGAAAAGGAGUUUAAUACUGAAGACAGCGAUGAGCAAAUCAUUACUACACUGAAAAAUCUUGCAGAAAAUAUCAGGACAAAUAAGUUGGAAGCAAAAAAAUUGAAGCUCGCAGCUUUAUCGUCUGUUGUUACUGCAUUAACCGCAAACAAGCAAACUAAACAUGAGAAUUUGUAUGAUCUUCUUCAGAAGAAACACGAGCUAGGAUUGGAAGUUGAACAACUGUCAAAAGAGCAUUCUCAGUUAUUAGUAAAAUUAAUAGAAACAAAAAAAGAAAUUGUAAAAGAAACUGAUAGUUUUAAGAAAGAAAUUAGUAAUGAUGGACAAAAGCUGGCAGAAAUGAACAAAAAUCAACCAAGCACAAUUAUCAAGUUGAAGCAUAAAACACAAGAAUACAUACGUAAAGCAAAUGAAGCUCGUAAAUUAAUUUCUACAAUUAUUGUUGCUGGUGAUGUGAACUUAAUUGAAAAACCGGAAUUACUGGAACUGUUGGUCAAGCAACGCCUUGUUAUAACAGUGGAUAACUUAAAAAAUUGGUAGCCAUAACUAUUUUGGAAGGAGAGGAAGGCAUGUGAUCUGUGAACAAUCCAAGGGACUAAAUUCUGUACAGUAGAACCUCUAUUUUACUUUUUUUAGGAAAUAAGGGGAAAAAAUUGCAUGAAUAAUGAUAAACUGUAAAUUGAACUAUCUUUGCAUUCUUAUACUCUUAUACAAAAACCAGAUUUUUUAACAAAUUUAAGUAUUAAAUAUAAUAAAAUUAUUUAAAAAAA
Bacillus rossius redtenbacheri is the source of this 1184-nucleotide long non-coding RNA. RefSeq lists it as uncharacterized. Lineage: Eukaryota; Metazoa; Arthropoda; Insecta; Phasmatodea; Bacillidae. The record is from RefSeq and is a predicted model, not a curated record. The transcript has 4 exons.